Molecule: small nuclear RNA, 197 nt
Organism: Cucurbita pepo subsp. pepo (vegetable marrow)
Lineage: Eukaryota; Viridiplantae; Streptophyta; Magnoliopsida; Cucurbitales; Cucurbitaceae
Product: U2 spliceosomal RNA
Source: RefSeq, a predicted model, not a curated record
AUACCUUUCUCGGCCUUUUGGCUAAGAUCAAGUGUAGUAUCUGUUCUUAUCAGUUUAAUAUCUGAUACGUGGGCCAUCGGCCCACAUGAUAUUAAAUUAAUUUUUCUAGGGUGAGGGUCCAUUAUCAGUAGCUUGCUACUGGGGCUCUCGAGUGUCGCCCAUGCGUUGCACUACUGCUUGGGCCUGGCACAACCCUC